Molecule: unclassified non-coding RNA, 238 nt
Filed under: Hevea brasiliensis (rubber tree)
Lineage: Eukaryota; Viridiplantae; Streptophyta; Magnoliopsida; Malpighiales; Euphorbiaceae
Source: RNAcentral
GUUCAAUCAUUCCACAUUAUUUCCGUGCUUUAAAAAGUGACAGCAAACUUGUGACAGAUAUUUACAGCUUUCAUGGGGAAUUUGUAACAAAGAUAUUAACAAUUUGCCUUCAGAAUGAGAGACACUGGAAAUGCAGAUGACAUGGUUGAAUCCUUACAAUAGAAUCUACAGAUGCACAAAAAACAAGCUCAACAUCAACCCAUCUGCCACUUUAGAACUGGUUCGCCUUUAUUAGAAU